GACCGCUCCUGUGGCCUAGUGGUUAGAGCGUCCGCCUCGAAUGAGGCAGGUCCUGAGUUCGAAUCCAAGCCGAGUCA
Molecule: non-coding RNA, 77 nt
Organism: Potamilus streckersoni
Lineage: Eukaryota; Metazoa; Mollusca; Bivalvia; Unionida; Unionidae
Source: the annotation of a GenBank genome assembly